RNAcentral lists this ribosomal RNA (253 nucleotides) under uncultured bacterium. RNAcentral's name for it is "partial 16S ribosomal RNA". It matches the Rfam family "Bacterial small subunit ribosomal RNA", at positions 524 to 776 of the family's 1533-position model. The record is from RNAcentral.
UACAGAGGGUGCAAGCGUUAAUCGGAAUUACUGGGCGUAAAGCGUGCGUAGGUGGGUUGUUAAGUCAGGCGUGAAAUCCUGGGGCUCAACCUCAGAAUUGCGCUUGAUACUGACAGACUCGAGUGUGGUAGAGGAUAGUGGAAUUCCCGGUGUAGCGGUGAAAUGCGUAGAUAUCGGGAGGAACAUCAGUGGCGAAGGCGGCUAUCUGGACCAACACUGACACUGAGGUACGAAAGCGUGGGUAGCAUCCACG